Achroia grisella is the source of this 981-nucleotide long non-coding RNA. RefSeq lists it as uncharacterized. The record is from RefSeq and is a predicted model, not a curated record. The transcript has 2 exons. NCBI's taxonomy places the organism in Eukaryota, Metazoa, Arthropoda, Insecta, Lepidoptera, Pyralidae.
AGGAGCUACAGAGGUAAGGUAGACUGGGCCGUCAAGCAUUAAAUUGCGUAUUGACGGACAGGUUGCAUUAAAUUGCGUUGGCUGGGCCAUCAGGCAUUAAAUUGCGAACUGAUGGACAGAUUGCAUUAAAUUGCGUUGGCUGGGCCAUCAGGCAUUAAAUUGCGAACUGAUGGACAGGUUGCAUUAAAUUGCGUUGGCUGGGCCAUCAGGCAUUAAAUUGCGAACUGAUGGACAGAUUGCAUUAAAUUGCGUUGGACUGGGCCGUCAAGCAUUAAAUUGCGUAUUGGCGGACAGGUUGCAUUAAAUUGCGUUGGCUGGGUCGUUAAGCAUUAAAUUGCGUAUUAACGUCCAGUUUGUGUUAAAUUGUCUUUGGCGGGGUCAUCAAGCAUUGUAUUGUGUAUUGAUGAAUGGUGUCCUAUUCAUUAAAGAAGUGCUUUAUACUAAUCUUACAUAAUAUUACACAAUAACAAAGUGGAAUAACGAUUAUAUGAAAACAAAUAUAAAAGAAGAAAGGUGAAGUAUGUGAAACACAGAGUAAAUUGGAGUUAAUAUAUAAAUGUAAUUUAUAUUCAAAAGAGGAGGAAAAAUCACGGUGCUGGUUACGCUGGAAAGGCCAAUCGCACUAGAGGCAUUCGGCUUAUGUGUGGCAGUAUAGUGUCAAAAUGAGUCCACCAUCGUUGUAACGUAGCACACAUGCCUCCAAGGAACAAAUACCUAAUAGAGUGGAUUGAUUCAUGCUUGAAAAGAAAAUAAACUUAAAAAGGAGAGAGAUGUAGUGUAUGUGGAAACACUAGCAGUUUAUUAUCUAUCGUCUCGAGCCGAGCGUACACGGACCGCCGUGCGCAAGAGGGAAGGGAUUCCCUGCGCAAGCGCCGCGGAGUAAAGACGUGGAGCUAUGGCUAACGAGCCGAUAUUACGUCGAUAACAACUUACAUACAAGAAGACAUAAAUAACAAAUAAGUGAACACUAUAAUCAGUAUU